Molecule: ribosomal RNA, 1671 nt
Filed under: Triticum aestivum (bread wheat)
Lineage: Eukaryota; Viridiplantae; Streptophyta; Magnoliopsida; Poales; Poaceae
Description: partial small subunit ribosomal RNA
Source: RNAcentral
UGGCCUAGCGCGGCGGCGAGCGUCGAGGGAGGACGCGCUCGAGGAGAGCGCGGGCGUUCUACGGAGCGGCCGCUGGGGUGUGGAGGCGGUGCGGGGCGGCGGCCGCUGGAAGGGGCGACCUAGAGGCUGGAGGUACCACAGCAACCGGAAGUUAGAGCGACCUAGGCCGGCGGAGGUACGGUUUAGGUGGCCUUUACCUAGGUGGGGCCGGUCUAGGCGGGCCUAGGUUGGCCCGGGGCGGCAGCAGCGGUGGCCUCGCGGCGGGGCUUUAAAACCAAGUCUGACGAGAAGUUAGGAACGACUAAACACCAAAACUCUGGGUGGGUUCGUCCCGACGCGAGUCCUCUUCUUGGACGACAAGGACCUCCGGACUGUCUGUCGGCUAGGGCGAUAAUAGUGUUCAGGCGAAACACUGCUCGACCAGUUGUGCGCCCUCCUCUGUAUAUACUAAGGUGAACACGUUUCAGACGGACAUGAUGAUAGGUAUAACGGGGUAUCGUUAUGUUAAAUAGAUGACGGAGUUAUCGAGUGAAGACGUUCAGUAUUGCAAGGUGAAAUUAUGAAAUCUUACAUGUCGGCUCAAAUUAUUCACCUAGUUUACGUCAACAGUAUGUGGAGGAAACCAACUUAGACUUAAGACAAUCUUUGUACUGUUUGGUGGAUUUAUACGGUAACUAGACAUGUUUUGACUCUCUAAAACACAAAAGUAUCAAGAAAACGCGAGACUGGCUUAAACGAAUAGACAGUAAAAAAAGUCUACAACGUUGGAACCCGCUAGCCAAGUAACCUAAGAACUUUGGUCACGGAAAAGACUUCAUUCAGACCGUACGUUCCAUGGGAGUGCCAAAUAAAAGUUCUCUACCGCAACCCCAGAGCCCCUGCACGGCCUGCCGCAGCGCAAGGACGUGGAACCCCUACCGAAACCCAACUUAAGGGGAGGUACGUUAGAACACGAGGAAACCCACAAAGAUUAGAAAGACGGAAGAUCGCAUUUAUCUCUCUACAAGAGGGUAGCGAUAACCGACAGUUUAAUCGCUACGUUAGGUAGGGAUACAGCCGUGUUAGUCGUCUUGUUUCGUCGAUGGUACUAAACGGGUAACUAGAGAACCUCACUAAGUUUGGACGUUCGUGGUCCCAUUACUGAGUACGAGAUGAUGCAGUCUAACUCACUGAGGACGUAUACUACUGACUUCUUAAAAAGUAGUUAAAAGGUUGGACUUAAUCGAUGUCUUCCCUUUUCUCCUCAGGUCCGAGACUACUUGUGUAGCAGAAAGGGUCUUUGGUGAAGUUGAUCGGGUCCUGACACAGAUAAUCAGGAGGUCAUAAACAACUCUACUCUAUUGUGUAACAUACUGUCCAUUGUUCGUUGACUUCGUUCUUCUAAAAAAUUUAAAGAACCUUUCAUAUUGGUGGAAUUGGGUCCUACGUACUACUUCCUAGGUUAUACAGUCCUGGUUGCUCCCUUAACGUCAUACAGUCUUGGUUACUCUCUUAACAUCUCGAAGUAUGAUUCAAAUAAAAUCGACGAACGGGCGAAGUUCACAGAUCUAAUGUCCUUUGUACAAAGGAAUUCACUGUUUGGACCUAUGGUUAAAUAAGUUUGAUAAUAUAAAGAAUAUCUUCAUUACGUUAUAUAAGAGAGAGAAGACGGAUAAACUUUAUGACAACACC